GUUUGAUCCUGGCUCAGAUUGAACGCUGGCGGCAGGCCUAACACAUGCAAGUCGGACGGUAGCACAGAGAGCUUGCUCUCGGGUGACGAGUGGCGGACGGGUGAGUAAUGUCUGGGAAACUGCCCGAUGGAGGGGGAUAACUACUGGAAACGGUAGCUAAUACCGCAUAACGUCGCAAGACCAAAGUGGGGGACCUUCGGGCCUCACACCAUCGGAUGUGCCCAGGUGGGAUUAGCUAGUAGGUGGGGUAAUGGCUCACCUAGGCGACGAUCCCUAGCUGGUCUGAGAGGAUGACCAGCCACACUGGAACUGAGACACGGUCCAGACUCCUACGGGAGGCAGCAGUGGGGAAUAUUGCACAAUGGGCGCAAGCCUGAUGCAGCCAUGCCGCGUGUAUGAAGAAGGCCUUCGGGUUGUAAAGUACUUUCAGCGGGGAGGAAGGGGGCGAAGUUAAUAGCUUCGUUCAUUGACGUUACCCGCAGAAGAAGCACCGGCUAACUCCGUGCCAGCAGCCGCGGUAAUACGGAGGGUGCAAGCGUUAAUCGGAAUUACUGGGCGUAAAGCGCACGCAGGCGGUCUGUUAAGUCAGAUGUGAAAUCCCCGGGCUUAACCUGGGAACUGCAUUUGAAACUGGCAGGCUUGAGUCUCGUAGAGGGGGGUAGAAUUUCCAGGUGUAGCGGUGAAAUGCGUAGAGAUCUGGAGGAAUACCGGUGGCGAAGGCGGCCCCCUGGACGAAGACUGACGCUCAGGUGCGAAAGCGUGGGGGAGCAAACAGGAUUAGAUACCCUGGUAGUCCACGCCGUAAACGAUGUCGACUUGGAGGUUGUGCCCUUGAGGCGUGGCUUCCGGAGCUAACGCGUUAAGUCGACCGCCUGGGGAGUACGGCCGCAAGGUUAAAACUCAAAUGAAUUGACGGGGGCCCGCACAAGCGGUGGAGCAUGUGGUUUAAUUCGAUGCAACGCGAAGAACCUUACCUGGCCUUGACAUCCAGAGAACUUAGCAGAGAUGCUUUGGUGCCUUCGGGAACUCUGAGACAGGUGCUGCAUGGCUGUCGUCAGCUCGUGUUGUGAAAUGUUGGGUUAAGUCCCGCAACGAGCGCAACCCUUAUCCUUUGUUGCCAGCGGUUCGGCCGGGAACUCAAAGGAGACUGCCGGUGAUAAACCGGAGGAAGGUGGGGAUGACGUCAAGUCAUCAUGGCCCUUACGGCCAGGGCUACACACGUGCUACAAUGGCGCAUACAAAGAGAAGCGACCUCGCGAGAGCAAGCGGACCUCAUAAAGUGCGUCGUAGUCCGGAUUGGAGUCUGCAACUCGACUCCAUGAAGUCGGAAUCGCUAGUAAUCGUAGAUCAGAAUGCUACGGUGAAUACGUUCCCGGGCCUUGUACUCACCGC
This 1392-nucleotide ribosomal RNA is filed under the name uncultured bacterium. RNAcentral's name for it is "bacterial SSU rRNA". It matches the Rfam family "Bacterial small subunit ribosomal RNA". The record is from RNAcentral.